GGCGCAGUUGAUCAGCCAUGCCGCGUGAGUGAUGAAGGCCCUAGGGUUGUAAAGCUCUUUCGGCGGGGAAGAUAAUGACGGUACCCGGAGAAUAAGCCCCGGCUAACUUCGUGCCAGCAGCCGCGGUAAUA
RNAcentral lists this ribosomal RNA (131 nucleotides) under uncultured bacterium. Its description in RNAcentral is "partial 16S ribosomal RNA". It matches the Rfam family "Bacterial small subunit ribosomal RNA", at positions 376 to 525 of the family's 1533-position model. The record is from RNAcentral.